RNAcentral lists this ribosomal RNA (445 nucleotides) under uncultured bacterium. RNAcentral describes it as "bacterial SSU rRNA". It matches the Rfam family "Bacterial small subunit ribosomal RNA", at positions 29 to 520 of the family's 1533-position model. The record is from RNAcentral.
AACGAACGCUGGCGGCAGGCCUAACACAUGCAAGUCGAACGCCGUAGCAAUACGGAGUGGCAGACGGGUGAGUAACACGUGGGAACGUACCCUUCGGUUCGGGAUAACUCAGGGAAACUUGAGCUAAUACCGGAUACGUCCGAGAGGAGAAAGAUUUAUCGCCGAGGGAUCGGCCCGCGUCUGAUUAGCUUGUUGGUGAGGUAACGGCUCACCAAGGCGACGAUCAGUAGCUGGUCGAGAGGAUGAUCAGCCACAUUGGGACUGAGACACGGCCCAAACUCCUACGGGAGGCAGCAGUGGGGAAUAUUGGACAAUGGGCGCAAGCCUGAUCCAGCCAUGCCGCGUGAGUGAUGAAGGCCCUAGGGUUGUAAAGCUCUUUCGCACGCGACGAUGAUGACGGUAGCGUGAGAAGAAGCCCCGGNUAACUUCGUGCCAGCAGCCGCCG